This 265-nucleotide ribosomal RNA is filed under the name uncultured archaeon. RNAcentral describes it as "partial 16S ribosomal RNA". It matches the Rfam family "Archaeal small subunit ribosomal RNA", at positions 717 to 982 of the family's 1478-position model. The record is from RNAcentral.
ACACGACUACAUUAGAUACCCGCGUAGUCCUAGCCGUAAACGAUACUCGCUAGGUGUCGGCCACGGUGCGACCGUUGUCGGUGCCGUAGGGAAGCCGUGAAGCGAGCCACCUGGGAAGUACGGCCGCAAGGCUGAAACUUAAAGGAGUUGGCGGGGGAGCACAACAACGGGUGGAGCUUGCGGUUUAAUUGGAUUCAACGCCGGAAAUCUUACCGGGACCGACAGCAACAUGAAGGCCAAGCUGAAGACUUUGCCGGAUUAGCUG